AGCCAGUAGCUUACCUCCUUAAUCAAAUGAUCUAGGUUAACAUUGCCAGUAAAUAAAAUGUAUCACCCCAAUGUGCUUUUGAUAAGACACAGUGAGACAAAUGGACAUAACAUUAUUCCUGGAGUAUUCUUACCAAAAUUGUACAGUCUCAAUCUAAUGAGAAAACAUCAAAUAAAGUCAAAUUGAAAGACAUCCUACAAAAUAACGCACAUAUUCAUCCAAAAUAUCAAGGUAUGAAACAAGAAAAAACUGAGGAGCUUUCACAGACUCACAGGCUGGAGAGUAUGGAAACAUAACAAGUAAAUGUAGUGUGGAAUUUUAGAUUAGACUCUGAUAUGAAAAAAGGAUAUUAGGAAGAAAAAAUGUUGAAAUUUGAAUGUUUUCUGCAGCAUAGUUAAUAAUAUUGUACCAAUAUUAAUAAUAAUUAUUCUGUGAUUAAAAUUUUAACAUUAGAGGAAGCUAAUGUAAGGGUAUAUAUAAAAUCUGUCAUUUUUUCACAAUUAUUUUAUAAGUCUGAAGUUAUUUAAAAAAAGAAAAGAAAGAGAGUGUAUUAAAUUGUGGAAUAUUUAAUCCAAAGCAAAUUAUUAAUUCAAUAACAUAUAUUGUGGUAUUAUGCUUUCUAGAAUAACCCUGAACAAGUUAAAUUUUCUCCCUUGGAUUCUUCCAGAUUGAGACCUGAUAUGCCCCAAUUUUCAUUCAGCCACAUAUUUGUUGACUCAAAUACAAAUACUCCUUUGUAAUGGCAAAUACAUCUUUAACUAAAGUAUGAUUUCUGUUACUAUAAUCAUUUUGUAUCAUUAUCAAAGCAAGCUACACAGAUCAAACAAGGGGUUUACAUGCUGAGGUGUCCAUUUAGCUCUUUCCAGAUAGAUUUCAUUUUGGCAAAGAGAAUAUAGUACCUAAACCUUAUAAUUACUUUUAUUGUAAGCACAUGAUAUAUAUGUCAGAAGGUUCUCUCUGAAACUUCUUGUGUUUCAGCCUUAACGGAGCCUGUUAAUACACAUUGAAAGUGAAAAUUUCCUCCUUAAAAAAAUACCAUAGAGACUUUGCACUGAAGAAUAUCUGAACCCUAAUAAUCAUAGACUUUAAAUAUUACUCUUCAGGGAAGAGCACUGCUUGGAGGACUGUAAUGAGAAAUCUUAAGACUUGUGAAAUGAUCUGAACUCCAAAUAAACUGGGAUCUGCUCGCCUUUUCUUUAAUAGCAAAUAUUUAGUUUUUUAUUACAUUUUUUCUCUAUACAUGCUCAGCACCAAGACACUUAGAUAAUUUAGGUUACUCAGUAGGAUCCAAACCUCCAAAGUAACAUAGACAGUAUCUGAUUUACAGCUCUUGAUCAUUACUGUCUGGUAAUUUCACCACUUCUUAAUUUACCCAUAUCACAAGUUGAAGACCACAACAUUUCGACUUGGUCAUUGUGAUAAUCUGUGUAUGUUUCCUUUCAGAGUUCAUGGUACUACCACAUUUCCAUUCAUCUAGAUUUAGUGAUAAAGAAAUAUAUGUCCCUUUUCAGCUAAUAUUGUCAAUCAACAUAUCCAGCCAAUUUUAACAUAAAAACAUUUUAAGAUUUGACACUUUCAAUCUACUCACUUUUUAUUCUCUCAGAUACUUAUUAUACAUACAUUUGUUGAUCUAAAACCAGAGCUUUUUCUAAAGUGGAUUAUAACCCCUGUCCCAUUCAUUCUUUCUAAUGCCUUUUAUUUUUUAUCAUCUAAAACCUAGAUCUAUUCUAUAUCACAACUAUUCUUCAAAAAAAUGGAGAUAAUUCACAUUACAAAAAAAUAGGAUAAUUUUUUCACAGAUGAAUUUUGGGUGUGUGACCUAAGCAUAGUCUAACCGCAAAAGUUAUCAUCUGAUAUACCUCUUAUGCUACACCAUAAUCUCUAGCCAUGCUGAACUUCAUUUAUCUGCUACUGUCCUUGUGCAUAUACUCAUGAUCCUUUUAGGAUCACAUCCUCCUGUUACAUCAAAGCCAAUUUUUUUUUAAGGUUUAUUUAAUUGAGAGAGAGAGGGAGACAGCACAGGCAGAACAGAGUGAGGGGGAGAAGGAGAGGGAGAGAAUCCCAAGCAGACUCCUUGCUGAGUGCAGAGCCCCAUGUGAGGCUCUAUCACACAACCCUGAGAUCAUGAUCUGAGCCAAAAUCAAGAGUGAGAGGCUUAACCUACUGAGCCACCCAGGCAUCUCCAAAGCCAACUUUUUUUUUUUCAAAGCCAACUUUUAAUACUCAGAUUAAAUGUCUUCCAGAUUCAAAUUUGUUUUAUGAUAAGGGAGUACGUUGUACAACAUUAUAGAAUAAGCCCAGUUUACCUUUAUUGGAAUUUUGUAUGCACUGGUGGUCCCAUAUG
This 2344-nucleotide long non-coding RNA is filed under the name Canis lupus familiaris (dog). RNAcentral describes it as "lncRNA (ENSCAFG00000052177.1)". Lineage: Eukaryota; Metazoa; Chordata; Mammalia; Carnivora; Canidae. The record is from RNAcentral.